CAGGGAAUAUUAGUAAUGGGCGAAAGCCUGAACUAGCAACGCCGCGUGUGCGAAGAAGGCCUUCGGGUUGUAAAGCACUUUUUGAGAGGAUGAGGAAGGACGGUACUCUCAGAAUAAGUCUCGGCUAACUACGUGCCAGCAGCCGCGGUAACACGUAGGAGGCGAACGUUAUCCGGAUUUACUGGGCGUAAAGCGCGUGUAGGUGGGUUGGUAAGUAGGGCGUGAAAGCUCCUGGCUCAACUGGGAGGGGCCGUUCUAAACUGCCGAACUAGAGGAUGGUAGAGGGAGGUGGAAUUCCGGGUGUAGCGGUGGAAUGCGCAGAUAUCCGGAGGAACACCAGUGGCGAAAGCGGCCUCCUGGACCACUCCUGACACUCAGACGCGAAAGCUAGGGUAGCAAACGG
RNAcentral lists this ribosomal RNA (403 nucleotides) under uncultured bacterium. Its description in RNAcentral is "bacterial SSU rRNA". It matches the Rfam family "Bacterial small subunit ribosomal RNA", at positions 355 to 775 of the family's 1533-position model. The record is from RNAcentral.